GCGGCAGGCUGCAAGGCUCCAGCCUGGGCGUCAGGGAAGCGGCGGCACCAGCGGCCGGGACUCGCGGCGGCGGCGGCGGCGGCCGCUGCGCCCCAUGUUGGUGGAUUUCCCAGGAUGCACCUCCCGCCCCCCUCCGCCCCGCGGCCUCGCCCCGCCUCCCCUCGGCGCCCCGCGCUCCCAGCUCAUGAGCUGGGCGGGCGCAGGCGAGGCCUCCGCCGCUACCGGUCGGCUCUGGAGGGGCAGCCACGGCUAAGGAGGCGAAGUCUGACGACCCGGCCGACCCCGGGGACUCGGAGAGCACCCGGCAGCCGAAGCCCGCGGACCGCGGACGUCUGCCCGGAGGGGAGCUGUCCGCUCUCGCUGCGCCCGCGUGGGAAGGGGCCGCGCUUCCCGAUCGCCCCACCGAGGGAGGGGACAGUGAGCGGAAACGCAGCCUAGGGUGCCGCAAAGCGGGAGGCUUGUCAGCGCUUUGCCUGGAGUUCAUUACUUGACCCUUCGGAUUAUUUUGAGGGACUCAGAGACACUCAGUCUCCAUAUCGCUAUUUCUUUCUCUGCGCCCCAAACCAGAAACAGCUGAACGGGCUGUUUUACAGUUCCGUUUACUCCCUUCCUGCCCAAAGCUUGCUGGGCAAAAGGACCCUUUUCCUACUGCUAAAGGAGAUUUAUAUUCAAAGAAAUUCAAAUUCAAACGUAUUACUUUCCAAUCCUCGCUGAAAGGGCCUUUCCCAGGAGUUCUUAUUAACUGUCCCCAUCCCCCAACUUGGGGAUUUUCCCACUCUGGAUUUUUGAAUCUUUGUAUUCCAAAAUAAAUACUGGCUCUUCGUUGAUCAAUCCAACUACCAUCUGGAUGACUUUUAUAACAAUAAGUCUAACUCAGUAUGCAAUGUGUGUUGGUUUUUUUGUUUUUGUUUUGUUUUGUUUUUUUGGUCGAGAUUCGGAACCUCUUCAGGACUCUACCCAAACAUUUCUUAUCUGACUUCCAAGUUGUUGGUGUGGAGUGAUUUUAAUGACUACUUGAGGUUUUUCUGUUGUCUAUCAGUUGUGUUUCUUCUCACGAGGAGUGAAAUUAAGAGAUCAGAGAAAUCACUUGGCCCUUCAGCCUUUAAGUGAAAGUUAAAAUAACGGUGAAGUUAUAUUUAAUGACCACCUUUUAAAAAUCAAUAUUGGUUUAACACCUAUUACAUGCUUAGCACAGCAAUCUAUCCCUCAAGAUAAGCCUAAGGUAAAGGUUUUUAAGCAAAUCUAGACAGGCGUAGAGGAAGACCUGAUAAUCUUGAUACACUAUCUCUAAUGAACAUUUAAAAAGGUGUUUUAAAUUUAAGGACUACCUGGUACAGAGUCUACUAAUCCUUCUGAGAUUAAUUUUGUCCUGGGAGAUUCUGUUUUCCUCCUGGUGCCUACAUCCUUUUGUUCCUAUUCAUUCUUUAUUGUAUACCCUUUUGCACCUGCGAAGCUUGGAGCCAGGUCCUGGGGUGGGGAAGGAAAGUUAAGUAGUCUUAUUUACAAAUGAAUUCAAGCUGUGGACAAAACUGACCUUGCAAUUUUAAGUUAAUUACAGUUUGCAUUUACUUAAGAUAACUUUGAAAGUGAUUUUCAUUGGGGAAGGAAUUUGCCAAAUGUAAGAUCCUACAGAGAAGUAACAUAAAUUUCCAUUACAUUUUUUUUUCUUCCUGCAUACUGGAAAUGUGGAAUCUAAAUACAAUAAGUUUUCCAAAUAACUUUUAUAUUUUUAACUACUUUUGUGAGUUUUAAGUUUCGUUUCUGGGGCUGGGGAUGUGGCUCAAGCGGUAGCGCGCUCGCCUGGCAUGCGUGCGGCCCGGGUUCUAAUUCUCAGCACCACAUACAAACAAAGAUGUUGUGUCCACCGAAAACUAAAAAAUAAAUAUUAAAAAAUUCUCUCUCUCUCUCAAAAUAAAUAAAUAAAGUUUCGUUUCUGUGGGAAGGCUAAGAAAUGAAUGUGGCAUACUAUAAAUGUUUUAUGGCACUUAGUUUGAGACCAUAACUGGUACUCAAAGUGAGUUAUGGGGAGCAGGGCGUGGUAGCCCAUGCCUGUAAUCCCACCCACCCAGGAGGCUGAGGCAGGAGGAUUGCAAGUUUGAGGCCAACCCAGGCAAUUUAGUAAGACCCUGUCUCAAAAGUUCUUAAAAUGGCUGGGAAUGUAGCUCAGUGGUACAGCACCCCUGGGUUCAAUUCCCAGAACCUCAAAAAAAAAAAGGUGAGUUAUGCUAGCAACAGCAAACAAGUGGCAAUAAAACCUUUGUCAUCUCUUACACCAUUAUUAGUUUAUGCCACAUUGAUCAAAGAACAGAUAUUAAGGGAAAACUUUUGUAUUUUUAUUUAUUUUGGUACCAAAGACUGAAUCCAGGGGCACUUAACCCCUGAGCCUCAUCCCAGCCCUUUUUAUUUUUAACUUUGAGACAGGGUCUCACUAAGUUGCUUAAGGCCUUGUUAAUUUACUGAGGCUGCCCUUGAAAUUGUGAUUCUCCUGCCUCAGCCUCCUUAGCCUCUGGGAUUACAGAAGUGCUCCACUGUGCCCAAAUGAGUAUAGUUUUAAAUAAUAUAUCCUGUUGUCAGAUGUUCCUUUGCCCUUCAAAUGAAAUUUUCUUAGUUUAUCCUAAAGUCAAAUGUUGCAGCAUGUUUAUGAUUAGCAUCAUUAAAUCAUUUAACUUAACAUUUUUUAAUUGAUGAGUCAUAAUUGUAUAAUUUUAUGGGAUAUAAUGUAAUGUUUUGGUAUAUGUAAAUAAAUAUUUUUCCCUACUGAAAAUAUAUUCCCAACUCUGCAUUUUCCAUGAUCUGUUUUAU
Molecule: long non-coding RNA, 2802 nt
Filed under: Marmota monax (woodchuck)
Lineage: Eukaryota; Metazoa; Chordata; Mammalia; Rodentia; Sciuridae
Source: RNAcentral